Mirounga angustirostris (Northern elephant seal) is the source of this 533-nucleotide long non-coding RNA. RefSeq lists it as uncharacterized. The record is from RefSeq and is a predicted model, not a curated record. NCBI's taxonomy places the organism in Eukaryota, Metazoa, Chordata, Mammalia, Carnivora, Phocidae. The transcript has 3 exons.
GUCGGGGAAGGGCUUCCGGCACUCGGGGCACGCCUUGUCGCGGCGGUCCCCCCAGUCCCGGAUGCAGGCCCCGCAGAAGUUGUGGCCGCAGACCAGCGUCACCGGCUCCAGAUAGAGCCCCAGGCAAAUGGAGCAGCCUUCCCUGACGAACAUGCGUGACUCGCGUAACAAGGGACCAGCAAGCGGAUGUUAACGGGCCCCUGACUCCAGUGAGGGAAGCCGCUCGGGCACCGCCCCCCAGCCGGCCGGCCCAGCCCACGGCCCAUCCUUGGAAAGCUACUCACCACCCAGGCAGGAGGCUGCCGGGCCCUGGGCCCUGGGGAGCAGCACCACGGGGCUGGAGGGCAGGUCCUGUCGGAUGUGGUCCAGCAGCAGCCUCUGUUGGGCCAGACUCAGACCGCGCUGCGUGGACUCAGCCCUGGACUGCUCGGCAUUCACCCGCCAUCGCUCCUGGGGGCCAGGUGAGGACAUGCGUUCCCUGGACACCCUGCCCGCCCCCUCCGCCCCCCGUCAGGCCUGACUGCGCCCCAGGG